This is a long non-coding RNA of Mauremys reevesii (Reeves's turtle), 483 nucleotides long. RefSeq lists it as uncharacterized. The record is from RefSeq and is a predicted model, not a curated record. Lineage: Eukaryota; Metazoa; Chordata; Testudines; Geoemydidae. The transcript has 3 exons.
GAGCCUUGCUGCAGCAAGCCUCCGGCUCACGGUCUCUCACUCAGGACCAAGAGACGUUGGUGUGCAGGAGAUUCUGUGCAUGUGUUUUUCAUUCCCUAGUGGAUUUGUUUCAAAGACAUUGUCAUCUGUGUAGAAGCUAGUUUCAAUAUCUGGUGUCUACCCCUUGCCGUGCUGGCAGGGCAUUGAGCGGCACCCAUUGCCGGCCACCUGGGUGCGGAGAUCGAGGAGGGUGAAGGGAGGAGCAACCCUGAGCAUCUGCCAUCCAGCUCCAUCCGAUCUAGAGCAAUUCCAGGAUGGAGCGAAUCAGGUGGAUGCUCAGGAGGAAGGCCGGGCAGGUGGCUCCAGAGUCGGCAGCAAACAUCAGCCAGCCUGCCCAGGAGGAGAGCGGCCCCUCUGUCCCCGCAGGCAGGGAAGAGGCUCGUGGCCAGGGGAAAGGGAGGAGCUGCGUCGCCUGCUGGAGGAGGAGGAAGACAGCAGCUCCCC